CACACCAAGAACGGCUUGGCCGAAAUCUUUUAAAACGCAAAUAGCUGAUUGAUAUACCAUAACUUAUGAGGUCAAAACUCUCAUUCACAGCUUGGGCCACACGAAAAUUACAUGCACCUAAGUUAAUACGCAUCAGGCUAUUUAGUGAGCAUAGAUAUCCCCUAUCACAAUUAUUAACGGGUCAAGAGCCAGACAUACCCCAUCAUAAGACAUUUGGAUGUGUUGUCUAUGUACUAAUGGCUCCACCACAGAGAACUAAGAUGGGACCUCAAA
This 273-nucleotide long non-coding RNA is filed under the name Brassica napus (rape). RNAcentral describes it as "long non-coding RNA (BNAP_LNC018111)". The record is from RNAcentral. Lineage: Eukaryota; Viridiplantae; Streptophyta; Magnoliopsida; Brassicales; Brassicaceae.